Molecule: ribosomal RNA, 739 nt
Filed under: uncultured bacterium
Lineage: Bacteria
Description: bacterial SSU rRNA
Rfam family: Bacterial small subunit ribosomal RNA
Source: RNAcentral
AGAGUUUGAUCCUGGCUCAGAACGAACGCUGGCGGCAGGCUUAACACAUGCAAGUCGAACGCACCGCAAGGUGAGUGGCAGACGGGUGAGUAACGCGUGGGAACGUGCCCUUCAGUUCGGAAUAACCCAGGGAAACUUGGGCUAAUACCGGAUACGUGCGAGAGCAGAAAGAUUUAUCGCUGAAGGAUCGGCCCGCGUCUGAUUAGCUGGUUGGUAGGGUAAUGGCCUACCAAGGCGACGAUCAGUAGCUGGCUGAGAGGAUGAUCAGCCACAUUGGGACUGAGACACGGCCCAAACUCCUACGGGAGGCAGCAGUGGGGAAUAUUGGACAAUGGGCGCAAGCCUGAUCCAGCCAUGCCGCGUGAGUGAUGAAGGCCUUAGGGUUGUAAAGCUCUUUCGUCCGGGACGAUAAUGACGGUACCGGAAGAAGAAGCCCCGGCUAACUUCGUGCCAGCAGCCGCGGUAAUACGAAGGGGGCUAGCGUUGUUCGGAAUCACUGGGCGUAAAGGGCGCGUAGGCGGCCUGAUAAGUCGGGGGUGAAAGCCUGUGGCUCAACCACAGAAUUGCCUUCGAUACUGUCGGGCUUGAGACCGGAAGAGGUAAGUGGAACUGCGAGUGUAGAGGUGAAAUUCGUAGAUAUUCGCAAGAACACCAGUGGCGAAGGCGGCUUACUGGUCCGGUUCUGACGCUGAGGCGCGAAAGCGUGGGGAGCAAACAGGAUUAGAUACCCUAGUAGUCC